This 1925-nucleotide ribosomal RNA is filed under the name human gut metagenome. Its description in RNAcentral is "bacterial LSU rRNA". It matches the Rfam family "Bacterial large subunit ribosomal RNA", at positions 3 to 1973 of the family's 2925-position model. The record is from RNAcentral.
UCAAGCGACUAAGUGUAUGUGGUGGAUGCCUUGGCGAUCACAGGCGAUGAAGGACGUGACAGCCUGCGAAAAGCUGUGGGGAGUUGGCAAAUAAGCUUUGAUCCACAGAUGUCCGAAUGAGGGAACUCACCUGCUUUGCAGGUAUCCCAUCCUGAAUAUAUAGGGAUGGGAGGCGAACGAAGCGAACUGAAACAUCUAAGUAGCUUCAGGAAAAGAAAUCAACCGAGAUUCCGAAAGUAGCGGCGAGCGAAAUCGGAUCAGCCCAGCACUCGAUAGCAGCCAACUUACGGGAACGGUCUGGAAAGUCCGGCCAUAGAGGGUGAUAGCCCCUUACUGGAAAAGGCAGCUGUGGUACUAAGUGUGCGAUAAGUAGAGCGGGACACGUGACAUCCUGCUCGAAGAUGGGGGGACCAUCCUCCAAGGCUAAAUACUCGUGAUCGACCGAUAGCGUACCAGUACUGUGAAGGAAAGGUGAAAAGAACCCCGGGAGGGGAGUGAAAUAGAUCCUGAAACCGCAUACAUACAAACAGUAGGAGCCUCGUUAAGGGGUGACUGCGUACCUUUUGCAUAAUGGGUCAGCGACUUACGUUUAAUGGCGAGCUUAACCGUAUAGGGGAGGCGCAGCGAAAGCGAGUUCGAACAGAGCGUUCAGUCGUUAGGCGUAGACCCGAAACCAGAUGAUCUAUCCAUGGCCAGGUUGAAGGUGUGGUAACACACACUGGAGGACCGAACCGACUAGUGUUGCAAAAUUAGCGGAUGAGCUGUGGAUAGGGGUGAAAGGCUAAACAAAUCUGGAGAUAGCUGGUUCUCCCCGAAAACUAUUGAGGUAGUGCCUCGUGUAUGACUCCAGGGGGUAGAGCACUGUUAUGGCUAGGGGGACAUGGCGUCUUACCAAACCAUGGCAAACUCCGAAUACUUGGAAGUUUGAGCACGGGAGACAGAGCACCGGGUGCUAACGUCCGGACUCAAGAGGGAAACAACCCAGACCGCCGGCUAAGGUCCCUAAUAUUGACUAAGUGGAAAACGAAGUGGAAAGGCUAAGACAGUCAGGAAGUUGGCUUAGAAGCAGCCAUCCUUCAAAGAAAGCGUAAUAGCUCACUGAUCGAGUCUUUCUGCGCGGAAGAUGUAACGGGGCUAAGUCAAUAACCGAAGCCGCGGAUUCACACUUGUGUGUGAGUGGUAGGGGAGCGUUCUGUAAGCCUGCGAAGGUGACUCGUAAGGGUUGCUGGAGGUAUCAGAAGUGCGAAUGCUGACAUGAGUAACGUUAAAGCGGGUGAAAAGCCCGCUCGCCGUAAGCCCAAGGUUUCCUGCUCUACGUUCAUCGGAGCAGGGUGAGUCGGCCCCUAAGGUGAGGCUGAGAAGCGUAACUGAUGGGAACAAGGUUAAUAUUCCUUGACCACCGCUGAAUGCGAAGGGGGGACGGAGUAUUGAAGAUCAUCCGGGUGUUGGAUAUCCCGGUUUGCGAGCGUAGGAGGCUGACAGGCAAAUCCGUCAGCGAAUCUCCGAGGCAAAGCAUCGAGCUCUCUUUUGAGCGAAGUGAUUGGAUGUGCUUCCAGGAAAAGCCUCUAAGCUCCAGUUCAGCGGGACCGUACCGCAAACCGACACUGGUGGGCGAGCUGAAUAUGCUCAGGCGCUUGAGAGAACUCAGGAGAAGGAACUCGGCAAAUUGACACCGUAACUUCGGGAUAAGGUGUGCCUUUGUAGCGUGGAGGGAGAAACACCCCGAGCGCGAAGAGGUCUCAGAUAAUCGGUGGCUGCGACUGUUUAUUAAAAACACAGCACUCUGCAAAGACGAAAGUCGACGUAUAGGGUGUGAUGCCUGCCCGGUGCUGGAAGAUUAAUUGAUGGGGUGCAAGCUCCUGAUCGAAGUCCCAGUAAACGGCGGCCGUAACUAUAACGGUCCUAAGGUAGCGAAAUUCCUUGUC